This is a non-coding RNA of Cajanus cajan (pigeon pea), 252 nucleotides long. The record is from RefSeq and is a predicted model, not a curated record. NCBI's taxonomy places the organism in Eukaryota, Viridiplantae, Streptophyta, Magnoliopsida, Fabales, Fabaceae.
GGAAUACUGAUAUAUACCAUGCAUCAGAAUUUAGAUAUAGUAAUAUCCAUAUUUUACCAAAAACAAGUCAUUUAUGGACAUUAUCAGGAAAAUCAUAAAGGUCUGGAUCAAUCUCUUUUUCACUCCUUUGUGUUGCAUUGUAAUGCAGAGGCAACUUGUCUCUUUAAUAGCUAUGUUCAAACAUCUGGUACUAAUUAUGGCCAUUGGUCACUUAUAAUUCAAUUCGUUCUGGGCUUAGGUCCCUAUUCUGAA